GACGAACGCUGGCGGCGCGCUUAACACAUGCAAGUCGAACGGAAAGGCCUGCUUUCCCUUGUGGAUUGCGGGUACUCGAGUGGCGAACGGGUGAGUAACACGUGAGUGAUCUGCCCCCAACUUGGGUAUAAGCCUGGGAAACUGGGUCUAAUUCCCGAUAGGACUGCAGGGUGGUGCCUGUGGUGGAAAACGAUUUUCUAGUGGUUGGGGAUGAGCUCGCGGCCUAUCAGCUUGUUGGUGGGGUAAUGGCCUACCAAGGCGGCGACGGGUAGCCGGCCUGAGAGGGUGGACGGCCACAUUGGGACUGAGAUACGGCCCAGACUCCCACGGGAGGCAGCAGUGGGGAAUAUUACACAAUGGGCGGAAGCCUGAUGCAGCGACGCCGCGUGGGGGAUGACGGCCUUCGGGUUGUAAACUCCUUUCGACCGCGAGGAAGCCACCUGGUUGGAAGGGUGGUGACGGUAGUGGUAGAAGAAGCACCGGCUAACUACGUG
RNAcentral lists this ribosomal RNA (494 nucleotides) under uncultured bacterium. RNAcentral describes it as "partial 16S ribosomal RNA". It matches the Rfam family "Bacterial small subunit ribosomal RNA", at positions 28 to 507 of the family's 1533-position model. The record is from RNAcentral.